This 404-nucleotide ribosomal RNA is filed under the name uncultured bacterium. Its description in RNAcentral is "partial 16S ribosomal RNA". It matches the Rfam family "Bacterial small subunit ribosomal RNA", at positions 30 to 526 of the family's 1533-position model. The record is from RNAcentral.
AUUGAACGCUGGCGGCAGGCCUAACACAUGCAAGUCGAGCGGCGGCGGACGGGUGAGUAACGCGUAAAGAACUUACCUCACAGUUAGGGAAAACAUUUGGAAACGAAUGCUAAUACCUAAUACUGUGAGAGAGCUUUGCGUCCCAUUAGCUAGUUGGAGAGGUAACGGCUCACCAAGGGGAUGAUGGGUAGCAGGCCUGAGAGGGUGAUCGGCCAAAAGGGGACUGAGACACGGCCCUUACUCCUACGGGAGGCAGCAGUGGGGAAUAUUGGACAAUGGACCAAAGUCUGAUCCAGCAAUUCUGUGUGCACGAUGAAGUUUUCGGAAUGUAAAGUGCUUUCAGUUGGGAAGCGGUACCAACAGAAGAAGUGACGGCUAAAUACGUGCCAGCAGCCGCGUAAUAC